GAAGGAGAAGAAGAAUGGUUAGUCUCUCUCUCUCUCUCAUUUCCCUUUCCCUUUUGCAGAUAAUUGUAAAAUCCCUAAAUUCAGCUUUCUUAGCUGCAUCCGAAGCCGAUUCGAUCGAUACUUUGUUCAUCUCAGCAAUCACAGAAGGAAAUCAAGAAACUGAUCUCUCUAAAAGUGGUCCAAAACCCUCAUUUUCAUCUCCGUCAGACGCAUUUGACCCCACCGAUGCAUUAGAAUCCUUCCCUACACCAUCAAUUACUGAUGGGAAUCAAGGAUCUGGCAUGUAUCUACACACACAUCCACCUGAUGCAUGGCCUGGACUUCCACAUCGUGAAGUUGCCAUGCGUGUCCACAUAUAGAGAUGCAUGUGGAAAGAUUAUGUUCUUGCUUCUAUUAUUACCGUUUUGGUAUAUCUACAAAAAAUUGCAGGUUUGCAAAGUGGCCCCCAUGGAAAUCCUCUCCCACAUGCACUUUACAAGCAAAAUAUGUGCCAAUAUGGCAUGUGUCCAGUAUAUCUGAUAGGAGCAUAGGAUGGGCUACACCAUGCAGAUGAUGGUGACCAUCUAAUUUUGCUCUUGCAACUUGAACCACUCACUAUAUCAUUUUUAUCCAUCCAUUAAGAUAACCACCAUUUGGUUAGUUAGGAUUGAUUUAUCAUUUUGAUUUCCAACAUGCACCUUUCAAGAUGUGCCUUACAAUUUGAAUGGUCUAAAAAGUUGUACUUGUGUGCCACGUGAGGAGUAACUGCCAAUUUCAGAAUGGUAACAACUCUUCCAACAGAACAUGGAAAAGUUAUAUGACAAUCUUGAUUGUACAAAUAACUUAACCGAUUGUGCUUUGAGCAUAAAACAGAAUUUCACCAACCACAUGAAAUUAAUCAUUUGAUUUUGCCUUGGAAUUUGAACCAUUCACUGUUAACCAUCCAUUUGAUAACCAUCAAUCAAAUGAUGAUUAUCUUUGAUUUAUUAAUGUGCAUUUUGAAAUGAUAAAUAGCCAUGCAUGAGUGCCACAUUUGAGGAAGAUGACUCACUAAACUACCAUUUUCAAGAUGUUUGUGAGCUCUGACAUGUAUGAUGACUCCUUUGAUAGUUAACUGCAAUUUUAAGAAAAUGGUGGUAACUCUUCCAACAUACACAUGUCACGGUUAUAUGACAAUCCAAGCUGUCCAAUUGCUUGCCCAAUUGUGUUCGGAGCAUAAAGUUACACAGGUAACCACAUAUCCUGGCCAUCCUAAUUGUUGGCCCAACUGAUAUUUCAAUUUGGCCCUUUGGAAUUUAAGCCAAUCGCUGUUUGACUUUUAACCGUCAAAUGGAUGGUUAGGAUUGGUUGAUUA
Long non-coding RNA from Magnolia sinica, 1333 nucleotides. RefSeq lists it as uncharacterized. The transcript is spliced from 4 exons. NCBI's taxonomy places the organism in Eukaryota, Viridiplantae, Streptophyta, Magnoliopsida, Magnoliales, Magnoliaceae. The record is from RefSeq and is a predicted model, not a curated record.